RNAcentral lists this ribosomal RNA (415 nucleotides) under uncultured crenarchaeote. RNAcentral describes it as "bacterial SSU rRNA". It matches the Rfam family "Archaeal small subunit ribosomal RNA", at positions 330 to 747 of the family's 1478-position model. Lineage: Archaea; Thermoproteati; Thermoproteota. The record is from RNAcentral.
GUGCAGCAGGCGCGAAGCCUCCACAAUUCACGCAAGUGAGAUGGGGUUACCUCGAGUGCCGUCUGAAGAAGGCGGCUUUUCCAUGGUGUAAUAAGCCAUGGGAAUAAGGGGGGGGCAAGACUGGUGUCAGCCGCCGCGGUAACACCAGCCCCCCGAGUGGUGGGGAUGAUUAUUUGGCCUAAAGCGUCCGUAGCCGGCUUUGUAAAUCUCUCGUUAAAUCCAGCGUCCUAAGCGUUGGGCUGCGAGAGACACUGCAGAGCUAGAGGGUGGGAGAGGUCAGCGGUAUUCCUGGGGUAGGGGCGAAAUCCAUUGAUCCCAGGAGGACCACCAGUGGCGAAGGCUGCUGUCCAGAACACGCCUGACGGUCAGGGACGAAAGCUGGGGUAGCGAAUCGGAUUAGAUACCCCCGUAGUCC